UGAACGCUGGCGGCAUGCCUUACACAUGCAAGUCGAACGGUAACGCGGGGCAACCUGGCGACGAGUGGCGAACGGGUGAGUAAAGCAUCGGAACGUGCCCAGUAGUGGGGGAUAGCCCGGCGAAAGCCGGAUUAAUACCGCAUACGACCUACGGGUGAAAGGGGGGAUCGCAAGACCUCUCGCUAUUGGAGCGGCCGAUGUCAGAUUAGGUAGUUGGUGGGGUAAAGGCCUACCAAGCCUGCGAUCUGUAGCUGGUCUGAGAGGACGACCAGCCACACUGGGACUGAGACACGGCCCAGACUCCUACGGGAGGCAGCAGUGGGGAAUUUUGGACAAUGGGCGCAAGCCUGAUCCAGCCAUGCCGCGUGCGGGAAGAAGG
Molecule: ribosomal RNA, 379 nt
Filed under: uncultured bacterium
Lineage: Bacteria
Description: bacterial SSU rRNA
Rfam family: Bacterial small subunit ribosomal RNA
Source: RNAcentral